This 481-nucleotide ribosomal RNA is filed under the name uncultured organism. RNAcentral's name for it is "partial 16S ribosomal RNA". It matches the Rfam family "Bacterial small subunit ribosomal RNA", at positions 329 to 801 of the family's 1533-position model. The record is from RNAcentral.
ACGUACACUCCUACGGGAGGCAGCAGUGGGGAAUUUUGGACAAUGGGCGCAAGCCUGAUCCAGCCAUGCCGCGUGCGGGAAGAAGGCCUUCGGGUUGUAAACCGCUUUUGUCAGGGAAGAAAAGGUUCUGGCUAAUACCUGGGACUCAUGACGGUACCUGAAGAAUAAGCACCGGCUAACUACGUGCCAGCAGCCGCGGUAAUACGUAGGGUGCAAGCGUUAAUCGGAAUUACUGGGCGUAAAGCGUGCGCAGGCGGUUAUGCAAGACAGAGGUGAAAUCCCCGGGCUCAACCUGGGAACUGCCUUUGUGACUGCAUGGCUAGAGUACGGUAGAGGGGGAUGGAAUUCCGCGUGUAGCAGUGAAAUGCGUAGAUAUGCGGAGGAACACCGAUGGCGAAGGCAAUCCCCUGGACCUGUACUGACGCUCAUGCACGAAAGCGUGGGGAGCAAACAGGAUUAGAAACCCCGGUAGUCCCAUGAU